Solanum verrucosum is the source of this 304-nucleotide long non-coding RNA. RefSeq lists it as uncharacterized. The record is from RefSeq and is a predicted model, not a curated record. Lineage: Eukaryota; Viridiplantae; Streptophyta; Magnoliopsida; Solanales; Solanaceae. The transcript is spliced from 2 exons.
AUCUGGAUAAGACAUUCUGUGGCAGGUCUAUAAAGUUUUAUGGUUCUGGUGAAACAAUUUAUUUUUCCUUUUUGGCCUAUUGUUUCCUGGUGUUGUUUCACUUAUUUGUUGCUAUCAAAUGUUUUCAGUAGCUGAUGCAGAGUUGUAAAUUCCUCUCAUUUUCUUGGUGGCUCAUACAUGAGGUGCCCCCUCGGGUAGAGGUGGAUCCCCGAGUUAAAUUCGAUGAGUUCGACCUUUAAAUUUACUGUCUUUGUCAUGUAAUAUUACUUCUGAGAAUUGUUUGAAAGAAGCCAUGAAUGAAUGA